Prionailurus viverrinus (fishing cat) is the source of this 154-nucleotide long non-coding RNA. RefSeq lists it as uncharacterized. Lineage: Eukaryota; Metazoa; Chordata; Mammalia; Carnivora; Felidae. The record is from RefSeq and is a predicted model, not a curated record. The transcript has 3 exons.
GCCCUUUAGCAGGUGUUUUUUGGAGUGUGUUACAUGCUUUCUGUUGUUAUAACUCUGGUUGCUUUAUUACCCUACUCGCAGUGAUGGUUUGGACCCUCCACCAGGUGUGCUUUGAUUUGUUCAUUGAAGGAACUUUGGAAAAAAAUGUUUAAAA